Molecule: RNA transcript, 1450 nt
Organism: Neltuma alba
Lineage: Eukaryota; Viridiplantae; Streptophyta; Magnoliopsida; Fabales; Fabaceae
Gene name: RING-H2 finger protein ATL7-like
Exons: 6
Source: RefSeq, a predicted model, not a curated record
UGUGCCUUCUUCAAGUACAGCCGCCAUCAAUCCGCAUCCCAGGCCCGAUCCUUUUCUCACGCAGGUCAAUUCCAGCCUUUAAGUCUCUCUUCAAUUAUUUUCUCCACAUUUCUUCAUUUUUCUCCGAUUGGGACAUCGUUGUUAGUUGAUUCGGAAAUUACCUGUCUUCGGAAGGUUCUCGUAAUUUCAACUUCACUACAGGCUAUCAGUUCUUGCAUUCAACUCAGCAUGAUUGCUCAGCUAGAUUUUGGUUCAUAAUAAUUGACUUUAUAGAGUGUCGGUGCGUUAAUCUGAGAAUUACUUGACAUCUAUGGGAUUUCUGGGUUCUGGGAAGCGGGUUGGUAAUGUCUCAAGACAGUUCAGACACUUCUUCGGCUUGCUGCUCAAGAUCGGAUCAUUUGGAUUCAGCUUCUGCUGAGCUCAAGCUUUACCGAGCCUUCAUUUUCUCUGUACCCAUCUUCUUCACUUUCAUCCUGCUCUUUCUGUUCUACGUGUUCUACCUUCGACCUCGUCGGGUUGAUUGGUCGUCUCUAAGGAUGAGAGCGUUUGCGGCUGCCGAGGAUAAUGACGGUAACUCCAGGUCGGAAUUGGGUUUGAAGAAAGAACUGAGAGAGAUGCUGCCGAUUAUCGUUUACAAAGAAAGCUUCUCAGUUAAAGAUACACAAUGCUCAGUUUGCCUUUUGGACUACCAACCAGAAGACAAGCUUCAACAGAUACCUGCAUGCGGCCAUACAUUUCACAUGAGCUGCAUUGAUCUUUGGCUCACCAACCACAGCACCUGCCCUCUCUGUCGCUUGUCCCUUUUAGCUUCUGCUAAAUCUUCAACUGAGACAUCUAAUUUACAGAGACCAUCUAGCAAUGAAGAAACACCAACUGCACAAUUCUCUGAAUCAAGAUCUACAACUCAUCCAGAUAAUAGUGUUGCCCAAAGUUGCUCUAGAGAUAAUGCAGGCAGUGCCCACUGUAUUGAUAUUGAAAGAGGAAAUGGAGAAACCAGUUAGAAGAGGUGUGGAGACAUGAGAGGCUUGUUAUGAAUACAAUGUUGAGGUGAGCAUUUCCAAUUAGAUAAUUGAAAAACUAUUUCAGUUGGUCGUGGGAUGUACUUUUGUUCGAUUAUUCAGCUAAACUUGACAGGAGAGAAUGAAUAUCUUCGCCAAUUGUUAAAAGAACAGAUCAUUUGUUGAAGAGCGAUGUUUCUUGAUGGCAAAAGAGAUGCUAUGAUAAGAUCUUCUCUAAUGUACUGACAUGAAAACUUCAGUUGUCAUAUAGAAUAUUUCUGUUUUAUAUAACAACUGAAGUUAAUAUGUCUAAAUCAGUUAGAAGUGAGUUAUGUUUAGUAUUAGAGAAAGUAUAAAUAUUUUUAUAAGAGCUUUCUGAACUAUGAUAAAUGAGACUCAAGCUUGUUUAUUUUUUCUUUUGGCAAAAGUAUACAUAUGAUCGUUUAAAUUCA